AUCCAGUUGACGAGUCCCAAAUAGGUUGACACGCGUGUCCUGUAU
RNAcentral lists this non-coding RNA (45 nucleotides) under Schistosoma mansoni. Lineage: Eukaryota; Metazoa; Platyhelminthes; Trematoda; Strigeidida; Schistosomatidae. The record is from RNAcentral.